Molecule: ribosomal RNA, 253 nt
Filed under: uncultured bacterium
Lineage: Bacteria
Description: partial 16S ribosomal RNA
Rfam family: Bacterial small subunit ribosomal RNA
Source: RNAcentral
UACGUAGGGGGCAAGCGUUAUCCGGAUUUACUGGGUGUAAAGGGGGCGCAGACGGCAAUGCAAGCCAGGAGUGAAAGCCCGGGGCCCAACCCCGGGACUGCUCUUGGAACUGCAUGGCUGGAGUACAGGAGGGGCAGGCGGAAUUCCUAGUGUAGCGGUGAAAUGCGUAGAUAUAAGGAAGAACACCAGUGGCGAAGGCGGCCACCUGGACCGGUAUUGACGCUGAGGCGCGAAAGCGUGGGGAGCAAACAGG